CAGCCGCCGCGGGAAUACAGAGGGUGCGAGCGUUAAUCGGAUUUACUGGGCGUAAAGGGCGCGUAGGUGGUUAUGUAAGUGAGAUGUGAAAUCCCCGGGCUCAACCUGGGAACUGCAUCUUAUACUGCGUAGCUGGAGUGCAGUAGAGGGUAGUGGAAUUUCCGGUGUAGCGGUGAAAUGCGUAGAUAUCGGAAGGAACACCAGUGGCGAAGGCGGCUACCUGGACUGACACUGACACUGAGGCGCGAAAGCGUGGGGAGCAAACAGGAUUAGAUACCCGUGUAGUCCCUGUCUCUUAUAC
Molecule: ribosomal RNA, 301 nt
Filed under: uncultured bacterium
Lineage: Bacteria
Description: partial 16S ribosomal RNA
Rfam family: Bacterial small subunit ribosomal RNA
Source: RNAcentral